RNAcentral lists this ribosomal RNA (518 nucleotides) under uncultured bacterium. RNAcentral's name for it is "bacterial SSU rRNA". It matches the Rfam family "Bacterial small subunit ribosomal RNA", at positions 254 to 765 of the family's 1533-position model. The record is from RNAcentral.
GAGGUAACGGCUCACCAAGGCGAUGACGGGUAGGCGAGCUGAGAGGCUGACCGCCCACACUGGGACUGAGACACUGCCCAGACUCCUACGGGAGGCUGCAGUCGAGAAUCUUCCGCAAUGGACGCAAGUCUGACGGAGCGACGCCGCGUGCGGGAUGAAGGUCUUUGGAUUGUAAACCGCUGUCACGCGUUAUGAAAAAGCGGGGGCGAAUACCCCCCGCCUUGACCAAGGCGCGGGAGGAAGACACGGCUAACUCUGUGCCAGCAGCCGCGGUAAUACAGAGGUGUCAAGCGUUGCUCGGUGUCACUGGGCUUAAAGGGCGCGUAGGCUGUGCGGUACGGUUCGGGUGAAAUCCCUCGGCUCAACCGAGGAACUGCCCGGGCGACGGCCGCGCUGGACUGCAUCAGGGGCGGAUGGAACUCCCGGUGGAGCGGUGAAAUGCGUAGAUAUCGGGAGGAACGCCGGUGGCGAAAGCGAUCCGCUGGGGUGCAAGUGACGCUGAGGCGCGAAAGCCAGGG